This is a long non-coding RNA of Bos taurus (domestic cattle), 3382 nucleotides long. The record is from Ensembl. NCBI's taxonomy places the organism in Eukaryota, Metazoa, Chordata, Mammalia, Artiodactyla, Bovidae.
GUGAAGUCUUUGUAUACAUAUACCUAGAGCAUGAGGGCGGAGAAGGCAAUGGCACCCCACUCCAGUACUCUUGCCUGGAAAAUCCCAUGGAUGGAGGAGCCUGGUAGGCUGCAGUCCAUGGGGUCACUGAGUAAGACAUGACUGAGUGACUUCACUUUCACUUUUCACUUUUCAUGCAUUGGAGAAGGAAAUGGCAACCCCUUCCAGUGUUCUUGCCUGGAGAAUCCCAGGGACGGGGGAGCCUGUUGGACUGCCGUCUGUGGGGUUGCACAGAGUCGGACACGACUGAAGUGACUUAGUUUAGCAGAGCAUGAGGACAGUAGAUGGCAUUAUGAGAGAAAAAUGAAGUGAUAGUUCUUCAAGAACUGUCUUGUUUAGACAAAGAAAGUCUUUUUUUUUUUUUUUUAAUUCAGGUCACCCAGAUUUUUCUCCAGGUUCUGCUGACUGAUCUACCUUAUACUUCCACUAUUUAAUUCCACACCAGUUUGAACAGAGAAUUCACUUUUUUGUCUUGUGUAAUGCACUUGUGUACAAAGUUCUCAGUCUUCUGCGCUUAUCGCGGUUUGCCUUGCACAGAGCAUUCGUGACUUUUUGUCAGUUUACCCUUGCCUUACUAUCUGGAGAGUGAAGGCUGCUGUCAUCCUUGGUCAGGUUGGGCUGACUUCUGUGCGGGCCCAGCAGUGCCCUCUCUGGCCCCUCUCUAUUUCUUUGUACCUGCUCUUACCACAAACAGCAGCGUUCUUGCCCAUGGGAACAAUUUUCACGCUCCUGGAGUCCCUUGUGAUAUGAGUCUAAGACUAAACUGCUGUCCCUUUGUAUGGAGUCCUGGGUAUCAAACUAUUGCCACGUCAAGUUUUCUUUAUAUAGGUCAGUUUUUGUGGAAGGUCUAGACACUUCAGAGAAUGGAGGGCUAUAUAAAAUGUAUAUAUUUUAUACUAUAUAUGAAUUAUAUCGGGAUUAAAGAUACUUACAUUUUCUAUAGCCUUUUUGGUCCAUAUGCUUAGUCAUGAUUUGAGAGAGAGGUAAGUUAAACAUUCUACUUACAGGUUAUUGUCAAGUUCUCCUUUUAUUUUCUUUGGUUUUUUACUUUUUUCCUGUACCAUAUGUGGCUAUGUUUUCUGUACAAUAUGUUGCUUAUGAACUCAGAAUUGUCAGAUUUCCAUUGUGAGUUUUACCUUGAUCUUUAUAUUUUUAUAUUAUUUUUUUCCUCACUGAAUGCUUUUGAAAUUCCAGAUAUUACGAAUAUGACCUAUUUUAUUUUGGCUUGCACUUGCCUGAUACACCUUUAUUUAUCAUUUUAUUUUUGAUAUUGUGUUGAUUGAUUUAGGGAUUUUAUUUUAAUAUACAGUACUAUGUAGUAGAUUUUGCUUUGUGAUUCUAUUUUAGUAUCUUAUUUCAUAUAUUAGAAUAGUCUAGUUGUAUUCAUUUAUAUGUAGUGUAUCUUUGCUCUUAAGUUAUGCUUUCUGGUAUUAUUGCUUAGUUUAUCUUUUUGUAGAGGGAUACUUUUCAUUGCAAGUAAGAAAAACUUCAAAUGAAAUAAAUUUAAAGUUUAAAGAAGGUACAAAGUUGGUGAGCUCCAGCCACAGUUCUAUCAGGAUGGCUGCGUGUUGCCGUGUUCAUGUCCAGCACAACAGAAACUGAGGAAGACUCUCCUUCAGCCAUGGAACUGUUCCAAAACCACUGCUGAUGGUGACUGCAGCCAUGAAAUUAAAAGACGCUUGCUCCUUGGAAGAAAAGCUAUGACCAGCCCAGACAGCAUAUUAAAAAGCAGAGACAUUCAUUACUUUGCCAACAUAGGUCUGUCUAGUCACGGCUAUGGUUUUGCCAGUAGUCAUGUAUGGAUGUGAGAAUUGGACUAUAAAGAAAGCUGAACACUGAAGAAUUAAUGCUUUUGAACUGUGGUGUUGGAGAAGACUCUUGAGUGUCCCUUGGACUGCAAGGAUAUCCAACCAGUCCAUCCUAAAGGAGCUUAGUCCUGAAUAUUCAUUGGAAGGACUGAUGCUGAAUCUGAAACGCCAAUACUUUGGCCACCUGGUGCAAAGAACUGACUCACUGGAAAAGACCCUGAUUCUGGGAAAGAUUGAAGGCAGGAGGAGAAGGGAUGAGGUGGUUGGGUGGUAUCACCAACUCAAUGGACAUGAGUUUGAGUAAACUCCAGUUGGUGAUGAACAGGGAAGCCUGGCAUGCUGCAGUCCAUGGGGUCACAAAGAGUCAGACAUGACUGAGCGACUGAACUGAACUGAUUUUGUUAGAAAAUCUUUGCAUUAAAUAUUUAAGAAAACAUGGUCAAUUGAGUCAGCUUGUGAUUCCAAUUGUAAGAUGUGUAAUUGAUUUAAUUUGAUUUUAACCUGAAAUCAAACUUAAUUUUUAGAUGUAUAAGAAUUAUAUGAGCACCUUGGAUUAUUUGUCAGAUGUUUAAAUAUUUAAAAUACUUUUUAAAAUGCUUAAACAAGCGUCAUGGAGCAAGCUAGUUAAUGGACUGAAUAAAAGGAUCCUUUAAAAAUUGAUUAAAAUUUGCUAGACUUACAAAUAAAAUAAUGUCUUAAAGUCAGCUUAAGUCCUUAGGAAUUUUGAAUUUCUAACUUUACUAAGUGAAACAUUUUAAAAACCAAAGUGUUCUCUGAAUGUUCUCUCUUGUAUCCCCGGGCUGCCCUGGACAGUAUUACAGAACUCACAUUAACAGAGUCUGCUGCCCUUGUGUUCCAGUCUGGACUGAUUGCUCUCUAAGCCUGCUGCCCCUACUUACCUGUGUUAGCUUCAUGUGACCCAGACUCUGUACACAUGCGUUCCUCUGAAUCUCAAGGCCACACCCAUCACACUAAAAGGAUUCAGCAUUCUUUCAGGAAGGAGGAAGGGCAAACAUGUCAGGGGCUGGGUAAGAAGUAGAUGUCGAAUAGAAGACCAUUGGUUUUCUGGAAAUCUUGAAAUCUAUUUCAAAGGCUGUCUGCCAAACAGGCUUUCCUCCAAGCCCCAUCCUGUCCUUGCCUCACAUAGUACUCUAUGCCCCAACCCCUCAGUGUUUCUUGGUUUCUUGGAGCAGCUGGUUUGCUUUUCUUUGGUGUCUCCAUCUGCGGUGCCUUCGGAUGCAAUUGCCUCUGCUCUCCAGUAACACGAUGUGUGCCUUCUACUUUCCAAAAACCUGUUGAUACCCUGAUAUUCCUUUCAUUCAUACUCUUUAUGGUUUGUUAUUGUUCCUUUCUUGUCAUUUUAGAAUGGUUUGAGAAGGAGUUAUAGUUAAAUUGCACGAGUUCAGCUUUCAUUAUUGGCUUCACCCAUCAUUUUUAUGGAGCUCAGACAGCACACUGCUGACAUUCAUCUGACCAGUGUUCUGUGUCACACCAUUCUGGUUACAGAGGAUGAAGGUGUCGUCUCCAGAAAGGCC